This 406-nucleotide ribosomal RNA is filed under the name uncultured bacterium. RNAcentral describes it as "partial 16S ribosomal RNA". It matches the Rfam family "Bacterial small subunit ribosomal RNA", at positions 30 to 526 of the family's 1533-position model. The record is from RNAcentral.
AUUGAACGCUGGCGGCAGGCCUAACACAUGCAAGUCGAGCGAGCGGCGGACGGGUGAGCAAUGUCUGGGAAACUGCCUGAUGGAGGGGGAUAACUACUGGCAACGGUAGCUAUUACCGCAUACCAUCAGAUGUGCCCAGCUGGGAUUAGCUAGUAGGUGGGGUAAUGGCUCACCUAGGCAAUGUCACCUAGCGGUUCUGAGAGGACUACCAGCCGCACUGGAACUGAGACACGGUCCCGAGUCCUACGGGAGGCAGCAGUGGGGAAUAUUGCACAAUGGGCGCAAGCCGGAUGCAGCCAUGCCGAGUGUAUGAAGAAGGCCUUCGGGUUGUAAAGCACUUUCAGCGGGGAGGCGUUACUCGCAGAAGAAGCACCGGCUAACUCCGUGCCAGCAGCCGCGGUAAUUC